GAUGAACGCUAGCGGCAGGCUUAACACAUGCAAGUCGAGGGGUAUGCCGAUUUAUCGGCAGAGACCGGCGCACGGGUGCGUAACGCGUAUGCAAUCUACCUUUCACAGAGGGAUAGCCCCAGAGAAAUUUGGAUUAAUACCUCAUAGUAUAGCAGUUUCGCAUGAAACCACUAUUAAAGUUCCAACGGUGAAAGAUGAGCAUGCGUCCCAUUAGCCAGAUGGUAAGGUAACGGCUUACCAUGGCUACGAUGGGUAGGGGUCCUGAGAGGGAGAU
This 274-nucleotide ribosomal RNA is filed under the name uncultured bacterium. Its description in RNAcentral is "partial 16S ribosomal RNA". It matches the Rfam family "Bacterial small subunit ribosomal RNA", at positions 28 to 304 of the family's 1533-position model. The record is from RNAcentral.